Molecule: ribosomal RNA, 132 nt
Filed under: Salmonella enterica
Lineage: Bacteria; Pseudomonadati; Pseudomonadota; Gammaproteobacteria; Enterobacterales; Enterobacteriaceae
Description: partial 16S ribosomal RNA
Source: RNAcentral
AAAUUGAAGAGUUUGAUCAUGGCUCAGAUUGAACGCUGGCGGCAGGCCUAACACAUGCAAGUCGAACGGUAACAGGAAGCAGCUUGCUGCUUYGCUGACGAGUGGCGGACGGGUGAGUAAUGUCUGGGAAAC